This 2582-nucleotide long non-coding RNA is filed under the name Fukomys damarensis (Damara mole-rat). RNAcentral's name for it is "lncRNA (ENSFDAG00000021677.1)". Lineage: Eukaryota; Metazoa; Chordata; Mammalia; Rodentia; Bathyergidae. The record is from RNAcentral.
CUGAGUACUUUAUAUGUAACUGAUAUUGUUAUAAUGCUCUAAUGUAAUAAUUUUUGAUCUUCAAAAAUCUUAUGAAAAGGGUGAUAUUUUCAUUUCAUUUUACAGAUGAAGAAGAUGAGGCAAAGAAAUUCAGGUAUUUUUCCAAGAUUAGAAUCCUACUCAUACACUGGUCACUGAAAAAAGAAAAAGGGAGGCGAAGGAAAGGAGCCAUGAUGUUCAAACUAUGGAUAAACAUAAAAAUAGGAGAAAACAGCUCCAAGUAGCACUUCUGAAACAGACAGUGGAAAACAUCUAUGGAAAAUUUUGAGCAACAUGACUGCAAAGGACAAGAAUGAAAGACUAGAGACACAAAACUCUCAUUUGCUCCAGGGACUGAUCACAUUGAUGAUACUUUUUAUAAGUCUUUUAUGCUCGAACUUGAUGAGGUAAAUAAUGGUUAGCAAUACUAGUUAGUCUAUGGCCCUUAAAUCUAUUUAAAAGCAUAGGUCAGAUGGAUUCCAUGCUGGUCCUGAUCUAUAAACCAAAUGGAUGAGGGGUGGGAGGAGUUGGAUAAUAAAUGAUUCUUUGAGAGGCAACCAUCUACCUAACAUACAGUAAAUAUGGAGACUGAGUAAUUGCAGUCAUAGGAUCUUGUAAAAAACAAACCAAUCAACAAUGAGUAUUAGUUAGUAAACACUUCCACUUGUAGAAUCGUUCCACAUUUCUUGGUACUACUAUUCCCUGUGAUUAGGUCAAUAGGAAACAGAACAACUAAGUCUACGCAGGACUUCAGGUCCUAAGGAGUAAAGGUUUGGGUCACCCUAGCCAGCAGAACCACAGUUGAUUCCAGUCCUUGCUAAAGGCAAAGAGAACAUGGAAUGGAAAGUGAAACAAGUAGUUAUAAAGUUGCAUUGUCAUGACCAUUUCCUCCUUAUUUUGUUAUGAAUAUAUUUGUAUGUAAAUAUUUAGCUUUCUUCUGUUUUAUGGCUUUAUCAUGUAACAUAAGAUGUACUGAAUUUAUGUCCAAUAUGUAUGUAUAUUAGUUUUACAUCAUAGUAUUUAAGUUACAUAUAAAAUGUCAAGAACAUCUACCACUCAAGGUGGCUUCUUCUGGGGAAGUGGCUUCUUCUGGACAUAGUACACUAUGUCAUAUGCAGUAUAAAUGCAUCAAAUUAGAAAGAAUUAUGACUUUAUUAUUGUCUUUAUUUACAAAUUAGGUAUGAUUUAAGAAGAUAUAUAUGGUUGCCAAACUGCAAGAGGUGGACAUGCGAUCAUUAAUUUUGUGUUGAUUUGGCACAGAAUACCUAGAUAUUUGGAUAAACAUUAUGCAGAUUGUGUCUGUGAGGGUACUUGUGGAUGAGAUAUUUGAAUCAGUAAACUGACUAAGGUAGACUGUCCUUCUGAAUGUGGGUAGGCCUCAUUCAAUCUAUUAAAGGUAUAGAUUAGAAAAAAAAAGGCUAAGAGAUAAUGUACAUCUUUGCUUAUCUUUGAACCAGGACAUAAGUCUUCUUUUGCCUUCAGAUACAAAUUGAAAUUGACAUCAUCAGCUUGGCUCUCCUAUUUGUAAGGCCUUCAGAUUCUAACUGGAACUGUACUACCAGUUCUCUUGGGUCAAUACCUUGCCAAAUAUAGAUCUUACUAAGCCUCCAUAACCAUAGGAGCCAAUUCUUUAUAAUAAUUAUCUCUCUAUAAAGAUGUGUAUGUGUGUGCAUCCCUGAUUGGUUCUGUUUCUCUAGAGAAAUCAGACUAAUACAAAAUCUUUUAAAUUAUUGAAUAUUAUUAAGAGAUCAUUCAAAAGGAAUUCUACUAUAACCUGGCUUAGAAAAAAAGUUUUAAAAUAAAUUAAGAUUCUCAUCUCAGUAACUGAGAAGACACAACACUUUCCUACCAUUUCUUUGAAUUUCUAAUUUGCACCUUUUAAAUUCUCUUAGUACCAAUUACUAUGGAUAUGAUUACUUACAGCAAUUGAGUAAUUACUUAUAGCAAUUCUGUGACAUGACUAAUACUUUAAAAAAUUAUCAAUGUGUUCUAUCUUAUUUUGGUCAACAUAAAAAUGAAAGUUUCUAGUUUCUAAAUAAUUACAGCAGAACUCUGACUGUCCAAAAUGAUUCUCAUCAUCUUUUGGCCACCUAACAAACUCUGGCAACAGAAUUAACAUGUCAACCCUUAAAAGGCUGUUAAGCACUGAGGCAGGUCUCCAUCUCAGAAAGGAUGAGAGACAUAAAAGAUGGCCUCAUAGAAUAAUAUGAUAAGGAAAAAGGGAAGAAAAAAAAAUCAAGAGACAUGACACAAGGAAACAUAACUUAAGAGACAACCUCUCCAAGAAAGGCCUUUAUUGAGUUCUUAGGAUAGUAGAAGGUCCUUACCUCAUGGUCGGGGAAAAAAAAAACAUGUGUAAAGAGGCUGCCUUCUAAUUUGUUUCUCUAAAAUUAUGCACCCAAUAAUGCUUUUAAAGAAUUCCUAGAAAAAAAUUAGCUGUAAUUUCUAAAGUUAAACAGCCACAUGCUAAUAGGUUUUAUGGUCAAAUAUUUAAUGCAAACCUAUUAUGCACUAGGCCUUGCACAAUAAACUGGAGGUAUAACAAUGAGCUAAACUAGAAACGG